This is a long non-coding RNA of Bradysia coprophila, 319 nucleotides long. RefSeq lists it as uncharacterized. The record is from RefSeq and is a predicted model, not a curated record. NCBI's taxonomy places the organism in Eukaryota, Metazoa, Arthropoda, Insecta, Diptera, Sciaridae.
GUUAUGACUUCGGUUUAGUUGACAUUAUAUCUCUCUGAUCAAUGGACACGCAAUGAGGUUCAAACCCAAUUUUUUUUCUUGGAAUUUGGAAUGAAUUCUAAAUCUUUGGCUGUAAAGUGAAUGGAAUACAAUGGCUUUUUGGUCCGUGGAAUGCACGCUCAUUAAACGUUUUUUUUGUUUACGACUUGAUACCCACAGCUGCAUUCGAUUUGUUGGUCGAAAAAACUUUUCGUUGUUCAACCGUUCAAGAACUAGUUGUUACGCGAAUCUAUAUUUGUACAGCGUGUUUUAGCUGAUUUUUUUAAAAUAAAUUCUGAAA